UAGGGAAUCUUCCGCAAUGGACGCAAGUCUGACGGAGCAACGCCGCGUGAGUGAAGAAGGGUUUCGGCUCGUAAAACUCUGUUGUUAAGGAAGAAUGACAGGCAGAGUAACUGCUGCCUGUGUGACGGUACUUAACCAGAAAGCCACGGCUAACUACGUGCCAGCAGCCGCGGUAAUACGUAGGUGGCAAGCGUUAUCCGGAAUUAUUGGGCGUAAAGCGCGCGUAGGCGGUUUUUUAAGUCUGAUGUGAAAGCCCCCGGCUCAACCGGGGAGGGUCAUUGGAAACUGGGGAACUUGAGUGCAGAAGAGGAGAGUGGAAUUCCAUGUGUAGCGGUGAAAUGCGCAGAGAUAUGGAGGAACACCAGUGGCGAAGGCGGCUCUCUGGUCUGUAACUGACGCUGAUGUGCGAAAGCGUGGGGGUCAAACAGG
Molecule: ribosomal RNA, 429 nt
Filed under: Bacillota bacterium
Lineage: Bacteria; Bacillati; Bacillota
Description: Firmicutes bacterium partial 16S ribosomal RNA
Rfam family: Bacterial small subunit ribosomal RNA
Source: RNAcentral